GACGAACGCUGGCGGCGUGCCUAAUACAUGCAAGUUGAGCGCUGAAGGUUGGUACUUGUACCCACUGGAUGAGCAGCUAACGGGUGAGUAACGCGUGGGGAAUCUGCCUUUGAGCGGGGGACAACAUUUUGAAACGAAUUCUAAUACCGCAUAAAAACUUUAAACACAAGAUUUAAGUUUGAAAGAUGCCAUUGCCUCACUCAAGGAUGAUCCCGCGGUUUAUUAGCUAGUUGGUGAGGUAAAGGCCCACCAAGGCGAUGAUACCUAGCCGGCCUGGGAGGGUGAUCGGCCACAUUGGGACUGGGACAAGGCCCAAACUCCUACGGGAAGCAGCAGUAGGGGAACUUCGGCAAUGGGCGGAAGUCUGAACGAGCAACGCCGGGGGAGUGAAGGAGGGUUUCGGAUCGUAAAACUCUGUUGGUAGAGAAGAAAGUUGGUGAGGGUAGAAAGCUCAUCAAGUGACGGUAACUACACAGAAAGCAACGGCUAACUACGUG
Molecule: ribosomal RNA, 497 nt
Filed under: uncultured bacterium
Lineage: Bacteria
Description: partial 16S ribosomal RNA
Rfam family: Bacterial small subunit ribosomal RNA
Source: RNAcentral